AAACAUUCUGGAACCGUAACUCAGGUGUAACGCAAUGAAGUCAACCAUGUAAACGUGUUGUCGAGUAGAUCAACAUGAGAUUUUCACACUAGGAGAGAAGAAGAGAAACUUCGUGAAAGUAUGGUCUCUUAGACAAGAGAAAAAACAUAAGUAAGCACUGUAAAGUGAUAGCUCAGAUUAUCUGGUAGGAUUUAAAGAUCAUAAUGGUACAAUGCGAUGUAG
Pelobates cultripes (western spadefoot toad) is the source of this 222-nucleotide non-coding RNA. The record is from the annotation of a GenBank genome assembly. NCBI's taxonomy places the organism in Eukaryota, Metazoa, Chordata, Amphibia, Anura, Pelobatidae.